CUGAAUCCAAUACAUGCAUUACACAUUGCUGAGAAGGAGUAUGAUAUGAUCCACUCUGUCAAUUAUCUGCUAAUAAUAAGUGUUUUGUGUAUCAUCUGUCAGCAUGGCACGAGAGUGUCACUUGACUUCAAUAUUUCAGUCUUUACACAUUGAUUGACUCUGUCAGCCAAUAUUUAACAUGUUUUAUGUCUCAAAGAAAAAUGGUUUACACAGUAG
Molecule: non-coding RNA, 216 nt
Organism: Pelobates cultripes (western spadefoot toad)
Lineage: Eukaryota; Metazoa; Chordata; Amphibia; Anura; Pelobatidae
Source: the annotation of a GenBank genome assembly